RNAcentral lists this ribosomal RNA (466 nucleotides) under uncultured bacterium. Its description in RNAcentral is "partial 16S ribosomal RNA". It matches the Rfam family "Bacterial small subunit ribosomal RNA", at positions 28 to 507 of the family's 1533-position model. The record is from RNAcentral.
GAUGAACGCUGGCGGCGUGCUUAACACAUGCAAGUCGAACGAUGAAGCCCAGCUUGCUGGGUGGAUUAGUGGCGAACGGGUGAGUAACACGUGAGUAACCUGCCCUUAACUCUGGGAUAAGCCUGGGAAACUGGGUCUAAUGCCGGAUAGGAGCGUCCACCGCAUGGUGGGUGUUGGAAAGAUUUAUCGGUUUUGGCUGGACUCGCGGCCUAUCAGCUUGUUGGUGAGGUAAUGGCUCACCAAGGCGACGACGGGUAGCCGGCCUGAGAGGGUGACCGGCCACACUGGGACUGAGACACGGCCCAGACUCCUACGGGAGGCAGCAGUGGGGAAUAUUGCACAAUGGGCGCAAGCCUGAUGCAGCGACGCCGCGUGAGGGAUGACGGCCUUCGGGUUGUAAACCUCUUUCAGUAGGGAAGAAGCGAAAGUGACGGUACCUGCAGAAGAAGCACCGGCUAACUACGUG